Molecule: ribosomal RNA, 218 nt
Filed under: uncultured bacterium
Lineage: Bacteria
Description: partial 16S ribosomal RNA
Rfam family: Bacterial small subunit ribosomal RNA
Source: RNAcentral
GGUACUCAGUUCGGAUUGAAGGCUGAAAUUCGCCUUCAUGAAGCUGGAAUUGCUAGUAAUGGCAGGUCAGCAUACUGCCGUGAAUACGUUCCCGGGCCUUGUACACACCGCCCGUCACACCAUGAGAGUUGGGAAUACCCGAAGCCUGUGAGCUAACUGUAAGGAGGCAGCAGUCGAAGGUAGAAUCAAUGAUUGGGGUGAAGUCGUAACAAGGUAUC